RNAcentral lists this ribosomal RNA (525 nucleotides) under uncultured bacterium. RNAcentral describes it as "bacterial SSU rRNA". It matches the Rfam family "Bacterial small subunit ribosomal RNA", at positions 8 to 518 of the family's 1533-position model. The record is from RNAcentral.
AGAGUUUGAUUAUGGCUCAGAUUGAACGCUGGACGGCAAGGCCUAACACAUGCAAGUCGAGGGGCAGCAUGAUCUUAGCUUGCUAAGAUUGAUGGCGACCGGCGCACGGGUGAGUAACGCGUAUCCAACCUUCCCCUUAGUAGGGCAUAGCCCGUAGAAAUGCGGAUUAAUACCCUAUGUUGUAUAUUGAGGACAUCUGAUUUAUACCAAAGGUUCACCGCUAAGGGAUGGGGAUAGCGUCUGAUUAGGUAGUCGGCGGGGUAACGGCCCACCGAGCCUACGAUCAGUAGGGGUUCUGAGAGGAAGGUCCCCCACAUUGGAACUGAGACACGGUCCAAACUCCUACGGGAGGCAGCAGUGAGGAAUAUCGGUCAAUGGACGAGAGUCUGAACCAGCCAAGUAAGCGUGCAGGAUGACGGCCCUAUGGGUUGUAAACUGCUUUUAUACGGGGAUAAAGUGAGGGACGUGUCCCUUUUUGUAGGUACCGUAUGAAUAAGGACCGGCUAAUUCCGUGCCAGCCGCUGC